GGGGAUUUAGCUCAGUGGUAGAGCGCUUGCCUAGGAAGCGCAAGGCCCUGGGUUCGGUUCCCAGCUCG
RNAcentral lists this transfer RNA (68 nucleotides) under Rattus norvegicus (Norway rat). It matches the Rfam family "tRNA". From Rfam's summary of the family: Transfer RNA (tRNA) molecules are approximately 80 nucleotides in length. Their secondary structure includes four short double-helical elements and three loops (D, anti-codon, and T loops). Further hydrogen bonds mediate the characteristic L-shaped molecular structure. tRNAs have two regions of fundamental functional importance: the anti-codon, which is responsible for specific mRNA codon recognition, and the 3' end, to which the tRNAs corresponding amino acid is attached (by aminoacyl-tRNA synthetases). tRNAs cope with the degeneracy of the genetic code in two manners: having more than one tRNA (with a specific anti-codon) for a particular amino acid; and 'wobble' base-pairing, i.e. permitting non-standard base-pairing at the 3rd anti-codon position. The record is from Rfam by way of RNAcentral. Lineage: Eukaryota; Metazoa; Chordata; Mammalia; Rodentia; Muridae.